GACGAGCGCUGGCGGCGUGCCUAAUACAUGCAAGUUGAGCGCUGAAGGUUGGUACUUGUACCAACUGGAUGAGCAGCGAACGGGUGAGUAACGCGUGGGGAAUCUGCCUUUGAGCGGGGGACAACAUUUGGAAACGAAUGCUAAUACCGCAUAAAAACUUUAAACACAAGUUUUAAGUUUGAAAGAUGCAAUUGCAUCACUCAAAGAUGAUCCCGCGUUGUAUUAGCUAGUUGGUGAGGUAGAGGCUCACCAAGGCGAUGAUACAUAGCCGACCUGAGAGGGUGAUCGGCCACAUUGGGACUGAGACACGGCCCAAACUCCUACGGGAGGCAGCAGUAGGGAAUCUUCGGCAAUGGACGAAAGUCUGACCGAGCAACGCCGCGUGAGUGAAGAAGGUUUUCGGAUCGUAAAACUCUGUUGGUAGAGAAGAACGUUGGUGAGAGUGGAAAGCUCAUCAAGUGACGGUAACUACCCAGAAAGGGACGGCUAACUACGUG
Molecule: ribosomal RNA, 497 nt
Filed under: uncultured bacterium
Lineage: Bacteria
Description: partial 16S ribosomal RNA
Rfam family: Bacterial small subunit ribosomal RNA
Source: RNAcentral